UGGAUGGGUGGGUGUUUCAUAUCUAACUGCAUUCAUACGCAUCUAUUUGAGUGUAAGGUUAUCUGACUGUUUCCUAUCUGACUGAAUAACAUUGUGACUGAGUGUCUGUGUGUGACUUGGUGUGCUUGAGUUGUUUCGUUCUGUUGGGACAUUGGUUCCAAGGUAACUUUUUGACUCUGUGUAUAUAAGUCUGUUUCGCUAUUGAACUGAAUUCUGUAAUUAUGUUCUUAGUCUUGUGUCAGACUCACACCGAGCUCAUGUAGCUCACCCCCUUUAAUGUUUCCCUUGCAGGUACAUUUUCGUGUUUUGGUGCUAGACUCGAUAUGCGGAGGUCUCGAACAAC
RNAcentral lists this long non-coding RNA (343 nucleotides) under Gossypium barbadense (sea-island cotton). RNAcentral's name for it is "long non-coding RNA (GBAR_LNC020698)". Lineage: Eukaryota; Viridiplantae; Streptophyta; Magnoliopsida; Malvales; Malvaceae. The record is from RNAcentral.